This 1739-nucleotide ribosomal RNA is filed under the name Salmonella enterica. Its description in RNAcentral is "partial 23S ribosomal RNA". It matches the Rfam family "Bacterial large subunit ribosomal RNA", at positions 1 to 1773 of the family's 2925-position model. The record is from RNAcentral. Lineage: Bacteria; Pseudomonadati; Pseudomonadota; Gammaproteobacteria; Enterobacterales; Enterobacteriaceae.
GAGGUUAAGCGACUAAGCGUACACGGUGGAUGCCCUGGCAGUCAGAGGCGAUGAAGGACGUGCUAAUCUGCGAUAAGCGCCGGUAAGGUGAUAUGAACCGUUAUAACCGGCGAUUUCCGAAUGGGGAAACCCAGUGUGACUCGUCACACUAUCAUUAACUGAAUCCAUAGGUUAAUGAGGCGAACCGGGGGAACUGAAACAUCUAAGUACCCCGAGGAAAAGAAAUCAACCGAGAUUCCCCCAGUAGCGGCGAGCGAACGGGGAGGAGCCCAGAGCCUGAAUCAGCAUGUGUGUUAGUGGAAGCGUCUGGAAAGGCGCGCGAUACAGGGUGACAGCCCCGUACACAAAAGCGCAUGUGCUGUGAGCUCGAUGAGUAGGGCGGGACACGUGGUAUCCUGUCUGAAUAUGGGGGGACCAUCCUCCAAGGCUAAAUACUCCUGACUGACCGAUAGUGAACCAGUACCGUGAGGGAAAGGCGAAAAGAACCCCGGCGAGGGGAGUGAAAAAGAACCUGAAACCGUGUACGUACAAGCAGUGGGAGCACCCUUUGGGGUGUGACUGCGUACCUUUUGUAUAAUGGGUCAGCGACUUAUAUUCUGUAGCAAGGUUAACCGAAUAGGGGAGCCGGAGGGAAACCGAGUCUUAAUUGGGCGUUAAGUUGCAGGGUAUAGACCCGAAACCCGGUGAUCUAGCCAUGGGCAGGUUGAAGGUUGGGUAACACUAACUGGAGGACCGAACCGACUAAUGUUGAAAAAUUAGCGGAUGACCUGUGGCUGGGGGUGAAAGGCCAAUCAAACCGGGAGAUAGCUGGUUCUCCCCGAAAGCUAUUUAGGUAGCGCCUCGUGAAUUCAUCUCCGGGGGUAGAGCACUGUUUCGGCUAGGGGGCCAUCCCGGCUUACCAACCCGAUGCAAACUGCGAAUACCGGAGAAUGUUAUCACGGGAGACACACGGCGGGUGCUAACGUCCGUCGUGAAGAGGGAAACAACCCAGACCGCCAGCUAAGGUCCCAAAGUCAUGGUUAAGUGGGAAACGAUGUGGGAAGGCCCAGACAGCCAGGAUGUUGGCUUAGAAGCAGCCAUCAUUUAAAGAAAGCGUAAUAGCUCACUGGUCGAGUCGGCCUGCGCGGAAGAUGUAACGGGGCUAAACCAUGCACCGAAGCUGCGGCAGCGACGCUGAUGCGUUGUUGGGUAGGGGAGCGUUCUGUAAGCCUGUGAAGGUGGCCUGUGAGGGUUGCUGGAGGUAUCAGAAGUGCGAAUGCUGACAUAAGUAACGAUAAAGCGGGUGAAAAGCCCGCUCGCCGGAAGACCAAGGGUUCCUGUCCAACGUUAAUCGGGGCAGGGUGAGUCGACCCCUAAGGCGAGGCCGAAAGGCGUAGUCGAUGGGAAACGGGUUAAUAUUCCCGUACUUGGUGUUACUGCGAAGGGGGGACGGAGAAGGCUAUGUUGGCCGGGCGACGGUUGUCCCGGUUUAAGCGUGUAGGUGUGUGUUCCAGGUAAAUCCGGUUCACUUUAACACUGAGGCGUGAUGACGAGGCACUACGGUGCUGAAGCAACAAAUGCCCUGCUUCCAGGAAAAGCCUCUAAGCAUCAGGUAACAUCAAAUCGUACCCCAAACCGACACAGGUGGUCAGGUAGAGAAUACCAAGGCGCUUGAGAGAACUCGGGUGAAGGAACUAGGCAAAAUGGUGCCGUAACUUCGGGAGAAGGCACGCUGACACGUAGGUGAAGUGAUUUACUCA